GCAUAUGCAAAUUCAGGUGCUGGGAUUGUCACCCCGAUGAAUAAACCGCGCCAAUAGACACGCCGCGAGCGUGUUUUUU
RNAcentral lists this small RNA (79 nucleotides) under Sodalis glossinidius str. 'morsitans'. RNAcentral's name for it is "isrK Hfq binding RNA". It matches the Rfam family "isrK Hfq binding RNA". The record is from Rfam by way of RNAcentral. Lineage: Bacteria; Pseudomonadati; Pseudomonadota; Gammaproteobacteria; Enterobacterales; Bruguierivoracaceae.